UUGAGUGGUGAUUUUAUGCAAUGGCUUCAAGCCACAGAUCUUCUCCAGUGCCUCAAGGAAGCAGCAGUGACGUUUUCUUUAAAAAAGAGGUAGAUCCAGCAAAACACAUUCGACCUGUGCAGUCACUGCCAGAUGUGUGUCCUAAGGAACCCACAGGUGAUUCAAAUAGUUUAUGUGUUGCCCCAUCUCUAGUUACAGAUCAACAUAGAUGGACUGUAUAUCAUUCCAAAGUAAACCUCCCAGCAGCAUUAAAUGAUCCUACAUUAGCAAAAAGAGAAUCUGACUUCUUCACAAAAACAUGGGGAUUGGACUUUGUGGACACUGAAGUCAUACCUUCAUUCUACCUCCCACAGAUCAGCAAGGAACAUUUUAUAGCAUAUCAACAGGAAAUCUCUCAGAGAGAGAAGAUCCAUGAGAGAUGCAAGAAUAUUUGUCCUCCUAAAGAUACCUUUGACAGGACUCUUUUACAUAUUCAUGAUAAAUCCAGGACAGAUCUGGAACAAGUACCUAAGAUUUUUAUGAAACCAGAUUUUGCCUUGGACGAUUCCUUAACUUUUAAUUCAGUUUUACCAUGGUCUCAUUUUAAUACUGCUGGUGGGAAAGGAAAUCGUGAUGCAGCUUCUUCCAAGUUGCUUCAAGAAAAGGUAAUUUAA
Molecule: long non-coding RNA, 653 nt
Filed under: Cricetulus griseus (Chinese hamster)
Lineage: Eukaryota; Metazoa; Chordata; Mammalia; Rodentia; Cricetidae
Description: lncRNA (ENSCGRG00000025431.1)
Source: RNAcentral